AUACCAUGUUGAACAAACGUGCGUCAUUGACAAAUCAUUUUAAUUCGUGUCUUGUAACUGUUGCCAAAUGAUGUCAGAGAGCACAAAAACAUUAAGAACACCUUAAUUUUGAGUUGCCCCUCCCCCAUUUUCCCUCCAAACAGCCUCAAUUUGUCGAGACACAGACUCUAUAAGGUGUCAAGCGUUCCACAGGGAUGCUGGCCCAUGUUGACUCCAAUGCUUCCCACAGUUGUGUCAAGGCUGGAUGUCCUUUGGGUGGUAGAUCAUUCUUGAUACACACAAGAAACUGUUGAGUGUGGAAAAACCUAUCCGUAUCCUUAUUCCUGUCCUAGCUAGUGACAUCUACUGUAGGCUAUCCGUAUCCUUAUUCAUGUCCUAGCUAGUGACAUCUAGGCUAUCCGUAUCCUUAUUCCUGUCCUAGCUAGUGACAUCUACUGUAGGCUAUCCGUAUCCUUAUUCAUGUCCUAGCUAGUGACAUCUAGGCUAUCCGUAUCCUUAUCCCUGUCCUAGCUAGUGACAUCUAGGCUAUCCGUAUCCUUAUCCCUGUCCUAGCUAGUGACAUCUACUGUAGGCUAUCCGUAUCCUUAUUCCUGUCCUAGCUAGUGACAUCUACUGUAGGCUAUCCGUAUCCUUAUUCCUGUCCUAGCUAGUGACAUCUAGGCUAUCCGUAUCCUUAUCCCUGUCCUAGCUAGUGACAUCUAGGCUAUCCUUAUCCCUGCCUAGCUAGUUAAAUGCUGCUUGUUUUUCAUUGUCUGAAUUUCCGUAUGUGUUGACAAGCGAGAGAUGACACGCUUACUACGGAGGGUCAGACUUGUUGCUCACGUGAGCGGAUCAACACACCGACUGCGUCAUUGCGUCACUGCUGCAUAACAUUUUGCCCAGCUAGGCAACUAGCAUGGAGGAGAGAAUCAUUUUCGCAGUAUCCUCAAAACCGUGUCUUUUUGACACAACUGCUGACAGCUACAGGGACAUAAACACAAAAAAUGCUGUUUGGAGACAAAUGUCCACGAUAGUAGGAUUGCCAGGUCAGUUUAGUAGUGAGCUUAUGCUAGAUGUGGCUAGUUAACGUUAGCUAACCUAGCCAAUGAGGUGUGUGUGUGAAAGAAAUUGUCAUAUAAAUUAUGCUAGUUACUACUCCUGAUAACUUUACCAAAUAAUCAUGUUUGAAAGAGUGAGUGUGUAUGUCAGAUAAAUAGUAAUAGAAAUGGUAGAUACUACUGUACCCCUGAUAAUUUGGUCAGAUAACCGUGUGUGUCUGUGUGUACAGUAGGUGACAUGUUCAUGAUAGCUAUCUAAUAACUAUAGUUAUGCUAGGUAAUGGUUUGGCUUAUCAUGGUCAUGUCUAUGUAGAAGAAGAUUUUAGGAGGAAGUGGAGAGGACUCAGGGACAGGUAUCAGAGAGAGAGAAGGGUAGAGAAAGAGAAGAAGAGGUCUGGGUCAGCAGCUUCAGGCCAGCAGCCUUGGUGCUUCUACCACAUUCUUUCUUUUCUGGAUCCAUUUAUUGUGCCUAUGGCAACGAGUGUCAAUUUUACAGCCAGACCCGCUACUACGUCAUCCACAAGUGUUGUCCCCACCGGUGCAUCAAGACCCUCAACGUCAUCUACAAGUGCGACCAUCGCCUCCACCGGUGCAGCGAGACCCUCUACAAUGUCUACAUCAUCCACAAGUAUGACCACCACCGGUGCAGCCAUGGAAGAGGAUGAAAUGGAGGAAGCAUCUCUGGAUCUAGGACCACCUGAGAUUAUUAUGAACCUCACGGAAGUGACCACUGAGGACCUCGUUGAACAGGAUGUGGCCGUGGAGACAAACGAGGAGAGAAACAGGGAGCGAAACGAAGAGGAACAACGUCACACCAGGCAUCAUCGGAGGUACCAGCCCCCAGAUCCACUCAACUAAUUUCAGUAGAGGCUCCUCCAAGCCGUCGAGAGGGAUGCAGCCCAAGCUGAUGCUCACAGGAAGGAGGAUGAAGAGACCCUCUUUGCCAUGAGCCUGGUGCCAACCCUGAAGAGGCUACCUCAGCAAAGAAAAGCAGCAGUCAAGGUUAAAUUGUAUGAGCUGCUUUUCCAAGCCGAGUUCAAUGAGAUGGAGUCAGUUUAGCCGACCAGCUCACAGGAAGGACAGGAAGAGGAGAGGAGUUGUCUGUUUGUUGUUUUGACCUCCCUCAUUAUACCUUUCCUUUCACACACAGCAGUUCCAUUUAAAUUCAGUCAAGUCAUAAAAUGAUUUGUUUCUAAAGUCUUAGGAUAGCAUUCAUUAUUAGUGUUACAUAGAUUUCUGAAUUGACAGAAUUGAAACUCAUACACCGGAGAAUUCAGAUGCUCUUGUUGGUCUCUUACAAGACUAAAGGUCAAUAUAUUUAUUUAAUUUAAAACCACUUGAAAACCA
Salmo salar (Atlantic salmon) is the source of this 2384-nucleotide long non-coding RNA. RefSeq lists it as uncharacterized. The record is from RefSeq and is a predicted model, not a curated record. NCBI's taxonomy places the organism in Eukaryota, Metazoa, Chordata, Actinopteri, Salmoniformes, Salmonidae.